UAGGGAAUCUUCGGCAAUGGACGGAAGUCUGACCGAGCAACGCCGCGUGAGUGAAGAAGGUUUUCGGAUCGUAAAGCUCUGUUGUUAGAGAAGAACGUUGGUAGGAGUGGAAAAUCUACCAAGUGACGGUAACUAACCAGAAAGGGACGGCUAACUACGUGCCAGCAGCCGCGGUAAUACGUAGGUCCCGAGCGUUGUCCGGAUUUAUUGGGCGUAAAGCGAGCGCAGGCGGUUCUUUAAGUCAGAAGUUAAAGGCAGUGGCUUAACCAUUGUACUCUUUGGAAACUGGAGGACUUGAGUGCAGAAGGGGAGAGUGUAAUUCCAUGUGUAGCGGUGAAAUGCGUAGAUAUAUGGAGGAACACCGGUGGCGAAAGCGGCUCUCUGGUCUGUAACUGACGCUGAGGCUCGAAAGCGUGGGGAGCAAACAGG
This 429-nucleotide ribosomal RNA is filed under the name Bacillota bacterium. Its description in RNAcentral is "Firmicutes bacterium partial 16S ribosomal RNA". It matches the Rfam family "Bacterial small subunit ribosomal RNA", at positions 355 to 776 of the family's 1533-position model. Lineage: Bacteria; Bacillati; Bacillota. The record is from RNAcentral.